UACGGGGGAGCAAGCGUUGUUCGGAUUUACUGGGCGUAAAGGGCGCGUAGGCGGCAAUUCAAGUCAGCUGUGAAAUCUCCGGGCUUAACCCGGAAAGGUCAGCCGAUACUGCGGGCUAGAGUGCAGAAGGGGCAACUGGAAUUCUCGGUGUAGCGGUGAAAUGCGUAGAUAUCGAGAGGAACACCUGCGGCGAAGGCGGGUUGCUGGGCUGACACUGACGCUGAGGCGCGAAAGCUAGGGGAGCGAACGGGA
RNAcentral lists this ribosomal RNA (252 nucleotides) under uncultured bacterium. RNAcentral describes it as "partial 16S ribosomal RNA". It matches the Rfam family "Bacterial small subunit ribosomal RNA", at positions 524 to 777 of the family's 1533-position model. The record is from RNAcentral.